UGGGGAAUAUUGCACAAUGGGGGAAACCCUGAUGCAGCGACGCCGCGUGAGCGAAGAAGGCUUUCGAGUCGUAAAGCUCUGUCCUAUGGGAAGAUAAUGACGGUACCAUAGAAGAAAGCCCCGGCUAAUUACGUGCCAGCAGCCGCGGUAAUACGUAAGGGGCGAGCGUUGUCCGGAAUUAUUGGGCGUAAAGAGUGCGUAGGCGGCAAAUUAAGUCAGAUGUGAAAACUAAGGGCUCAACCCAUAGAUUGCAUCUGAAACUGAUAUGCUUGAGUCAAGGAGAGGAAAGUGGAAAUCCUAGUGUAGCGGUGGAAUGCGUAGAUAUUAGGAGGAAUACCGGUGGCGAAGGCGACUUUCUGGACUUGAACUGACGCUGAGGCACGAAAGCGUGGGGAGCAAACAGG
This 404-nucleotide ribosomal RNA is filed under the name Verrucomicrobiota bacterium. RNAcentral's name for it is "Verrucomicrobia bacterium partial 16S ribosomal RNA". It matches the Rfam family "Bacterial small subunit ribosomal RNA", at positions 355 to 776 of the family's 1533-position model. Lineage: Bacteria; Pseudomonadati; Verrucomicrobiota. The record is from RNAcentral.